UCACGUAUGUUGAGGGAUAUAACAAGAAUGAAGUUCCCAACAAGCGCGAGCCGAAGCGUAACGACGUCUGCCUCAUCGCCAUCGACAUUCCCCAACCGCCGUUUCAAACAGGCGAGGCGCGUCGUCGUAGCGGUUCGGUAGGAUAUGACAUGUUACACGGAAGGGUCUUUGGAACCUCAGCAUCAUGCGUAUUUUGUACUGGAAUCUCGGGAGCAUCGAGGCAGUACUGGCCAGUACGUCGAACAACUACGUUGUGCAUAACAACGAUUGCCGUGGUGUGCGAGAGCUAGCGUUCCUUUGUUCUCCGGCUUUGCAGUUAAGAGUCUGGUGCGUAUCACUGACGGACUCAUGCGAACGGCUGAACUGUGUGAGAUUGUGUGUGUACAGCUACAAAGUGCAAGUCCAAUUCUUCACAUCUCUUUGAUUCAGGAUUUGAUUGGGAAUGAUGAAAGCAAUGUAUCCACACACAACCAUGGAUAGCCUCACAGAUGUGUAAAGUUACUGGUGUCUCUACAACACUGAAGAGCCAGGCAUAAACCGGAAGACGUCGCUUGGGUCUGCAGGUGAUUAGGC
Long non-coding RNA from Ornithodoros turicata, 573 nucleotides. RefSeq lists it as uncharacterized. The transcript is spliced from 3 exons. The record is from RefSeq and is a predicted model, not a curated record. Lineage: Eukaryota; Metazoa; Arthropoda; Arachnida; Ixodida; Argasidae.